RNAcentral lists this transfer RNA (70 nucleotides) under Marmota monax (woodchuck). RNAcentral describes it as "tRNA.Thr". Lineage: Eukaryota; Metazoa; Chordata; Mammalia; Rodentia; Sciuridae. The record is from RNAcentral.
GGGGCUGUGGCUCAGCGGUUGAGUGUGGCCUAGUAUGCGCAAGGCCCUGGGUUCAAUCCUCAGCACCACA